CGGAGGGAUCAUUAAAGAGUUCUAUAACUCCCAAACCCAUGUGAACAUACCCAACGUUGCCUCGGCAGGUCGCGCCUACCUCGUAGCCCCCUACCCCGUAGGGCCUACCCGGGAGACGCGGGUAAGCCUGCCGGCGGCCCACCAAACUCUGUUUGAUAUUGAAUUCUGAACCUAUAACUAAAUAAGUUAAAACUUUCAACAACGGAUCUCUUGGUUCUGGCAUCGAUGAAGAACGCAGCGAAAUGCGAUAAGUAAUGUGAAUUGCAGAAUUCAGUGAAUCAUCGAAUCUUUGAACGCAUAUUGCGCCCAUUAGUAUUCUAGUGGGCAGGACCGUUCGAGCGUCAUUUCGACCCUUAAGCCUUAGUUGCUUAGUGUUGGGAGCCUACGGCAACGUAGCUCCUCAAAGUUAGUGGCGGAGUUGGUUCACACUCUAGACGUAGUAAUUUUUUAUCUCGCCUAUCAGUUGGACCGAUCCCCUGCCGUAAAACCCCCCAACUUCUCAAGGUUGACCUCGAAUCGGUUCAGACAAACUCGCUAAAUUGAAGCAUCUUAGUCAGCGAAGGAAAAGAAACCAACAGGGAUUGCCCUAGUAACGGCGAGUGAAGCGGCAACAGCUCAAAUUUGAAAUCUGGCCCUCGGGUCCGAGUUGUAAUUUGUAGAGGAUGCUUUUGGCGCGGUGCCUUCCGAGUUCCCUGGAACGGGACGCCUUAGAGGGUGAGAGCCCCGUACGGUUGGACACCAA
Molecule: ribosomal RNA, 742 nt
Filed under: fungal endophyte
Lineage: Eukaryota; Fungi
Description: eukaryotic LSU rRNA
Rfam family: 5.8S ribosomal RNA (bases 191-344)
Source: RNAcentral